AUAAAUUCUUUCGUAUCUACAGAUUUUGUGAAAGAAAAAGGAUGAAACAAAUUAUACGGACAACCCUAAAAAAUUAUAUAAAUACUAUGAUAUUAAAUUAAUUUAUUGUGGGGGAGGGCUCAUCACAGUGGCUUGCCACUGGGGCUCUUGCGUGUCGCCUAGGCAUUGCACUAUUGCCCAGGCUUGGCGCCCAGAUU
This is a small nuclear RNA of Musa acuminata AAA Group (dessert banana), 197 nucleotides long. RefSeq annotates it as U2 spliceosomal RNA. The transcript has a single exon. The record is from RefSeq and is a predicted model, not a curated record. Lineage: Eukaryota; Viridiplantae; Streptophyta; Magnoliopsida; Zingiberales; Musaceae.